Non-coding RNA from Equus caballus (horse), 6738 nucleotides. NCBI's taxonomy places the organism in Eukaryota, Metazoa, Chordata, Mammalia, Perissodactyla, Equidae. The record is from RefSeq and is a predicted model, not a curated record.
ACAAUGCAGGAGUAAGUAUUGAAUAAAAAGUAUCAGCAAAUUUAAUAUACACAACUAAGAUAGCUAGAUGUGUCCCCAACAUGCAUAAUUCAUAAUCUGAAGUACAAAUUCAUAUUAUUAUGCAAUAGGAAAUUGUUAUUAGGCGAGAUCUUUAAGUGGAUACAUACACUCAGUUAUCUUCCCAGCCAUUUCUGAACAUAUUACUUUUCAUAGAUAUAUAUACAAUGUUAAAUAUAUCUACUGAACUUCAUUAAUGGAAAAUCUACAUGCAAUCAAAUAAAGCAAUUCAUUUUCAAUGUGCACUUAAAUUAUGGAAACCAAAAUCACAGGAGCUGAGAGGAAUCCUAAGAUAUAUAGAAAAAUCACCAUUUUUUUCAUUUAACUAGCAAUUCUCAAAUGAUACAAUAGUGCAAUAAAAGAAGGUUAAAAUUCAUAGGCCUUUUGAUAUUAAACAGGUACAUUUUCUCCUGCCAAAAUAAAUGACCUGCAGUUAAGUAAAUAAUGAGCCAAAGGGAAAAUAUAUUCAGUUUUAUAGAACCUUGAAAGGCUCCCUCAAGUCUCUAGGCUUAUUACGAUCUGUAUAAAAGCCCGCAAUUGUUUCCAAGUGCUUCCUUAUCAUAUGCGAUUUCUUUAAUUAACCAAAAUCAUCCGGGCCAUGAACUGUAAACAUUAACUAACAUAUGAUCCCAUAUGAAAUGCUUGCAAAAUGUUUUAUCGUUCAUUUGCAUUCCAUAAACUCCUGCCAUGUGCUUCUUUUUAAUCCAGGAAUCAACGUGGGCAUACGCACCUUCUAAAAUCUCACUGACAACUAGAUAUUAUCAAAUGUCAGCAGACCUGCCUGCUUACUGGAAGUUUUCCUUUUUUAGAAUUCGUCAAAAUUAGUUCGCUCUGGCAAAUUGUGGAUUAGCAAGCGGAGCGAUGGGAGUUGCACACAUUGCGUUCUGCAGCAGUGAGAAGAGGACAAUGCCAGGCCCAGGCCCUCAGCCCAAGCAGAGCAAAGAUUUGAUGGAAACAUCAUGCAACAUGAAAGUUCCUUUUUCAGUGAGCAAAGAAAGGUAAGUUGGGGCACACUAAAAAUAAGUGUGAUCCACAUUAUUUUUCCCCAGCUAACAUUUAUUAUAGUGCUUACUACAUGCCUGAAACAUUCCCAAACAGUUUUGAUGUAUUGUCAUUCAAUCUUCCUAAGAUCCUUAGGGUGUAGGCAUAAUUUUCAUUUUACGGUUUGAAAAGUGAGGUGAGCAGGGGUUCAGACCUUUCAGCUCCUAAGAAUUGGAGCUGGAUUUCCAUGUGGGCUCCAGAUCUCAGACUGCCUAAGGCCAGCAAAGCAUCAUCUUAUAUAGGUGGGUCCAGGACUGCAGCUGGGAAGGGACAGAGGAGCGAAGCUUUCACUCUGAGUUUCCUUCGUCAAUCAAAGAGAUAUAUACCUGGAAAGAUCCCUCCCCAAGUCUUUCUUGGGAGCUGUUCUUGAAAACAUAUUUCUAAGGUAAGAUGGUAUUUUAUAGUUUUUAAAAUCUAGGGAUAAUCUAGAUUUAGGAAGGAGUCAACAAAAUGACUAAAGCUUAAAACACAAGUAGUCAUGAAUAUAAAUAAAUUGUUUCUAAAUACUAAGGCUUUCAAAAAUAUCUUCAUAGGAUGGUGCCUGUCCAGUCUAAGCUGCUUUCUUCCCUGUCAUAUACUCCUGCGAACAGUAGCCUGCCUGGCAUCUUCCUGGAGGUACUGAGCACACCCAGAAGACCAUAAACUUUUUGAAAGGCCUCCUGCGCUGUAAACAUGAAUAGCAAUAGAUGCUGGGACGGAGAAGGUGUCACUCUAACAACCUAAAGAGGAAUAAACACUAAACUUUUUGCAAGCAAUUAAUAAUGACAAUCAUCAUAAAGCUGAAGAUAAACAUUGAAAAAAUACCAGGACUCCACCUUGACGAAGACUGUUCUAGCCUCUGUGACCCUCUCCUCUCUAGACAUUUAGAGUGAGUAUAACCUGCAGAAUAUGAUUAAGUAUUUAAUCAGUGCCUUUCCCCGUUUUCCUCCCCCAGCUGCUCCACACUAUUUACUGUUUUCUACGUAAUCACCUCUGACUAGAUUGUGACCUUCUUCUGCAUGGAAACUCAUGUUGUGACCACUAGCACUGAACACACACUAGGGGUCAGUAACUGCUGGCAGAAGGAUUAAUAGAAUGACUUCGAGCAUAUCAGCUUGGAUGCUGAGGAUAUAAAUAACCAUAAAACAUUGUCUUCGAAUGUGGUUAUUACUGUGACGUGGGAAUAACAGUAAUAUUGCCUCAACAUAGAAUAUUCUAGAAAAACAAAAUGUAAACUAUAUUGAGCUGGAAUAGCAGUCACAGACCUGUCGAAAAGUGCUGAGCCACUGGUGGAGCAGUCCACAAUUGGUAACAUUAAUGUCAAGAUUGCAAAAUUCAUUAUUGUCUUCGUCUUGCACAAACAUCUCAUACAGGAAAAACAGCUAUGGAUGAGGCAUAUUCAUUUACCAACUAGGUGUCUCUGAAGGUAGUUACAUCAAACUACUUAGUUUACAGAUAGUUAUAUCAAAGUAGGUAUGGGGCAUACUUACUACCAUGUUUAAAAUAAAGCCUGCUUAAGAAAAGGCAUAAGAACUAUGCAUUUAUUUGAAUGGUUAGAAAGUCCUAGAUUCUCUACUCUUUAUUCACUGGACCACCCAAAAGAACCAUAAAAUAGCAAUAGGGGAAUAUAUUCACAUAAUUACUAGAAUGCUUUUUUAAUUCUUGCCCUUGCAUAUCAACUGACAGAUAAGAUUAUUAUAAGACAUGAUACAUUAAUAAAUAACACCUAAUUAGUUUGAUAAUUUUUUGAUUAAGCCUUAAUUUUCCUUGCUUCUCAUGCAGCAAUUCAAAUUACUCUGUAUUAUUUGUUCCUUUUCAGGCUAUUUUAGAACAUGCUUUGAAUAGUCCCAGUAGGUUACCUGAGAAGGAAUUUAUUCUUGUCUGACAGCAGAUCCAUGCCAUUAACAGUGACAAGGCUAGAUCCAAGUGACACUUUAAUGAAAAUUCCCCCACAGCAAAGAUGUUCCUCUAGAAUCUGACACCACUUUCAAAAGGGUAGGAGACAAAAUUCUGAGAAUAUGAAAAAAAUGAAACCUUAUGCCUUCGUUUUGUUCUCUUUAAAAAGACUCAGAGAAAGUAAAGUCGGAUGAACAUCGUAUUACAAGGAGAGAAGUCUUCUUAUUUGCUAGACUUCUACCCAAACCUAACGCCCUUUACCACAAUGAAACUGGCUGAGAGAGCAACAUCAGUGGAAUCGCGGCCGCUCAGAAGUGCCUGGAUCUAUUUCUGUGUACAUUCCACCUAUUUAUAGUGACUAGACUGUUAAUGGAUUGAUUGAGACAAAUAUGAAAAUCUGAUACAUUAAUCUUGAACAGCUUCCACAGACUUCACGUAAUCAGAAGGCAACUCUCCUGGGGGCCUGCCAAGUCCAGGAACUAUGCACGCCCGUAAUUAAGUGUAGUCUCCAGCUCCUUUUUUUCUGUUACUUCUGUCUAAUUCUGUAUGCUGCCUGCAGUUUAUGGAUGUGCACAGCAAAACCAGCUUUGUUCAUUCAGAGCCUCCGUCUCUAGAGAUACAACCAAUAACUCCUGUAAGAAUCUUUAAGCAGGGCCGAUUUGCAAUGCUUAGAAACCUGUCAUCUUUUUAAACAACAAGAUUAUUUCUAGGAAUGAAUAAAGAGGGCUGCUCUGGGAUGAUCAUCAAUAAUUUUUUUCAUUGAGAUAAAUAUUAUACAUCAUGAAUUCAGUUCAGUAAACAUAUCAUGUAUCUGGCAAGGUAUGAGGCAAUAGGGAUUUGAAGGCAAAUGUUUCUUGAAGGUGUAUAUAAGGCAGUAAAGAAAGACUUGCUAGAGAGAGAACGAUAAUGAUAUAUGAUAAUUAAGUCAGGAAGAUAUAAGAAGUGCUUAGUAGAAAGCUGUAUUUUACAAUAUCUGGGCACCACUGCUACCAUUAUACACUUAAAUAAUACUUUUUGUAGUCAGGUAGUGCUCUAAAUGUAUGUGUGUGUGUGCAUGAAUUAAUCCAUACAUUAAUUCUAUAAAGUAAAGCUUGUUAUCUCAUUUUAAAGGAGAAAUAUGUAUCGUGCAUGUGUGUUCACUGCUGUAUCUACAGAAUCUAGCAUAGUUCCUAGAACUCAUCUAGAAGACGCUUAAACCAAACUCAUCAAUGCAUGUAAUGCAGGAUUUCUUCAUAUGACACUAUAAAUGAUGUAUUAUUACCCACAUUACAUAGAUAGUAGAAUCAAGGCUAGAUAACAUCAGAUGGCUAGAAGGGGCAAAAUUGGUCUGUAUGUUAUUUGUUCAAGUGGUUCUGAAAAACUUCCUUCCUCUCCCCAUCAAAAUUCUGAUUGUAACAAGCCUUAUAUGAAUGUUCAAUUAGUAAAGAAGGGCCAACACUCGGAGAGCUACGGACCCUAAGUGCGCUUUGACCAUCUGCUCAUGUAUUCUGCAGCAAUCCCAUUAUCAGCCUCAUUCAACAGACCAGGAAAUGGAGGCCUGAAGAGAUUGAUGAACCCUACCCAAGUCAUAUUCCAGGCAAAUGGCAGAGCCUACAUUUGAAGCCAUGCAGGCUGGCUCUGGAAUCUGUGAGCCUAACCACCUGUUCUCAUUGCCUGUAAUGUCCAUGCUUGGAUGGCUACCUCUGAAAAACAAAAAUAAAACAAUGCAAAACAACAAGAGAAAUUAACCAAAGAAGGAAAAGAAGCUAUUGCUCCAUUUUAGGUUAUGAACAGAUCUGGUUCUAGCACUUUCCUUACUACACUAUGCUUUUAGCAAAUAGUCACAGAUAUUUCACUGUUUCCAUUUACAUCCAGACCUCAUUUAAGUUUCUACCACUUGUGUGAACUUAAAUUGUCAGGAUAGUUUGUAGCAUUCUGAGUUGCAACAGUAAUUUCUUAAGUCACUUACACACAAUUCUCAUCACCACCUCCGUGGAAAAUGGCUUAGUAAAAUCUGCUCUUCUUUCCUUCAAAAUCAUAUUUUAGACUCAACAGCUUUAGCAUUAGUCCACAAAUUUCCUUGCAUUUCCAAUCCCUUAAGCAGGAUCCUGCCUAAUCACACUCUCUGAAAUGCUAGUUUAAUGUUAUUCUUCUACUAAAAAUCUUUUAAAGACUCUCUUUUACACCAAAUAUUAAUUCUGCCUUACUGACCAAGUGUCAGUAAUUUGUCACUACAAACUUAUCACUUGUUAAUCCUCAGUGUUUUCUAAUCUUAAUUUAUCCUUUUGCCAGUCUGAUAUCCUCAUUGUUGUACAAACACAUCAGUGUCGCAUGCAUGGCCACAUCCCCAUUCAUUUUCUCUUUCAUUCAUGUACAAAGCAAGCCCUUUGUACUCCUCAGCACGUGGUAAAAUAUUGUUCAUCUUUCAAGUUCUAGAUGCACAUUGUCUUCCCUGACACCAGGAAUCACAGACGUCUCUCUGAAACUUGUAACAUUUAGUGUCUGUAUUAUGCAAUCUGACUCUCAAGUUUAAACUUUUUUUAUUAAUUGUUAGUUCCUUUUUCUCUUUCAAAUAACCAUCUAUGCCGCUUGUUAAAGUUAGAGAUCAUCUUUUAGUAUUCUUAUAUCCUCUACUGUGCUCAGCCUGGGACUGCUGAGCACACAGAAGGUACUCAGUACUUGUACGCUGACUUAUUUUGCUCACUCCCCGGCAACCCCAUCUGCACGGCUGACCUCUCCCUGAAACUUCACACGUGGUUAUCUAACUGCCUACUUCAGAGUUUGCUGUGAGAAUUAAAUGAGCAAAGUGUGUGAAAGUCCCCAGUAUGAAGCUUGGUAUUUAUCAGGUGAUUAACAAAUGAUGUUUGGAUGGGAAUCUUCACAUAUUCCCCUCUUGCAACUGAAUACCAUCUGCGGCUUUAAGACUGGGUGAUGUGUUCAGCCUCCUACUUCUCCAGCCUGGCCUACUCCACUGAGUUUGGACCCACUCUCUUCCUUUACCCCCUAUUUAGAGUAUCACUUUGGUUUUUUGGGAUUGGUCAACAAUCUUUGAAUAAUCUUUCCUUUCCUCUCAUUUGAUAUCUGUAAUCAUAAAUCCCGUGAUUCUACCUCUGUGAGAGCUCUAAAAUCAUCUUUAUUCUAUCCAUCCCAUCUCCCAAGAUCAAGAUUUAGUUCCUCUCCUUGGACUUAUCCUAACUGGUCUUUCCAAUUCCAUUCUUCACAAAUGAUCUUGCAUAAUGUUUCCAUUUUUUUUUUUUUUUCUCUUUAUAGGUUCCCUGUGUGCCAACCAAAGUGAAUCACUUGCAUUUCCCCGUCUAUGUCUGGGAAGCAUGGAGAUUUGGUCUUAAUCCUGAAAGCUUUAUAGUUAGGCAGGCCUGGGUUUGAAUCCCCUGUCUGCACUGUGUAUGACCUGGAUAAGACACUUAAACUCCCUGUACCUCAAUUCUCUCUUGUAUAAAACGGGCAUGGUAAUGCAUUCCUCUUGAAGUUUUAUAAGGAUUAAAUAAGACUAUUUUAAAAGCCUAGCACAGAGUAAAUACUCAACAAGUGGUAGUCAAAAAAAACCAUUUCAAGAUAUUGUGAUUCUGUGCCUUAAUUAUUAUCCCUUCAGCCUCGUAGGUCUUUAUCCUUAAUUUCAUAGAACCUAUCCUACCAAUGCUCAAGACUCCUUUCAAUUUUGACUUCUUCCGUAAGAUCUUCUCUGAACUUUCACACUAGAAGCACUAUCUUUUUGCAGUAAACUUCCAUAAUAAAAGAAAAAGCAAAAAAAUGCAGGUGGAGGACGUG